Molecule: long non-coding RNA, 333 nt
Filed under: Elaeis guineensis (African oil palm)
Lineage: Eukaryota; Viridiplantae; Streptophyta; Magnoliopsida; Arecales; Arecaceae
Description: long non-coding RNA (EGUI_LNC063445)
Source: RNAcentral
GGUUGAAAAAUAGGCUUGAAAAAUCCUCUCUUUGAAUACUCUUGAAUGCCCUUUUGAAUACUCUUGCUUUUCUCUUUCACAAUCUCUCGUGUAUAUUGUAGAUCUCUUGUCUCUCUCGUGUGGAUUGUGGAUCCCCUCUCUUUUUCUUUUGUGUAUUUCGUUGAUCUCCUCGUGUAUAUUUUGGAUCCUCUGUAUUUCCUGUAUUUUCACCUUUUGAAACCUUUUAUAGCAUUAAGAAACAAGAGAAAACAUAUUAGGCAGAAAAAGAGCCGUUAGAGCAUUUUUAGGAAGCAUAAAAGGCAAUUAAAAUGGGCAAAAAACUAGCCGUUGCGG